Molecule: long non-coding RNA, 1765 nt
Filed under: Mustela putorius furo (domestic ferret)
Lineage: Eukaryota; Metazoa; Chordata; Mammalia; Carnivora; Mustelidae
Description: lncRNA (ENSMPUG00000031723.1)
Source: RNAcentral
GAUUAACUCCUCUUCUACUUAUCCUCAUUGGCAAGUUGUCCAGCUAGCUGUGGUAGGGAGUAACACUCUGGUCAGGAGGAUACCUGGGAGCAGGGGGCAUUCUUCCUUUCCCCAAGCCUAUGAAUAACAUUUUGGAAUCUGGAGUAAGACUUUAAAUUUAGAAUUCAAUUUGAAAUUUUCUGACUCCUUGGAGUUCUGUGCCAGAAUAUGAAGGUAGGAAACAGUUGGCUCAUGGCCCCAAAUUUUGGUCUACCCCUUUUCUCUCUCUUCCUCCCUCAGCUCUAUCUUGCCCAAUAAAAAAGAGGACACCUUGAACCGCUUCCCAACAACUAUGCCUGACCAUCCUUCUGCCUAGAGAUGUGCACAUCAGCAGCUCAAGCUGCCCUUAAGAGAAUGGACUACGAAGAAGGUCCAGAAGCGGAAGACCCAAUCUCUGAACUGAAGAGGGCUUUAAAAAACCCCAAACAUUUGAACAUCGCCAACGACAAGGUACUCCUGAACAAUAAUACUAAAGAGCUGACUAUUACCACAUGCCAGGUGUGACACUGUCUCCUGCAAUCUGCAAAGCCGCACCUGAAGCGUGGGCCCUGAUUUCCUUGCUCUGCAUACAAGGAAGAUGUGGAGUGGUUUGGAACCUGCUAAGUGACACCCUGACAGUCGGACCUCAGAGCUCCCCAAGGUACUCGUCUUCCUGCAGUCAGUUUUCUGAGGUCUUCAGGCAGAAAGAUGCAGGAGAGAGAUAAAGCCAUCUUUCCCCCCUGAAGUCUGCUGGCAAGAUUGGUGUCCCUCUUUGGUCCUAAAUCAGCAACACUAUUUAUGCUUACUGGCCCCUGGCUCAUUCUCUGGCUGGUGAUAUAACUAUGACAUGUAACACUGAGCUACAGCUUUGAGAUUAACAACAACAAUAUCAAGAAGAAUAUUAGAAAUAGUAAUAGCAAUGCUGGUGGUGCUGAUGACGGUGACAACAUUUAUAGCACACUGACUACUUGCCAAAAAGUUCUAUGAAUUUCCAUGAUGUUCUACACUUAUGCCUCACAAAAAACCUAUGAAGCCAAUACUACUUAUCCCCAUAUUUCAGGUGAGAAACCAGAGGCACGAAGAGAUAAAAUAGCUUGCCUGAAGUCACACAACCAGUGAGAGAUGCUUUGAUAAUUGAAUUCAGGAAGUUCGAUGGUAUUGCACAGAAAUUAAAAGUGCCCACAUAUCUCCUCACUAGGGAAGUGUGUUUUCAGUUCCAACUUCACAUAAAAGAAAAUUUUGCCUGUCAAAGAGAGAUAAAGUCCACCACCUGCCACACUAGCAGGCAGGGAAUGCGGACUUCACAGCACUGUAGCUGUCAGGGAAAACUUAGGAUAGAGAAGCAAGAUGCUGGAGUAACGUGCAAUCAUUUCCUUACUUUGUAAAGAAACAAAGAGACAUGUCAGAAGUGCUUUUCAAGUCAGGUAUGACCAAGGCUUAAAAUUUGGGGCACCCGAGUGGCACAGUUGGUUCUGACUCUUGGUUUUGACUCGGGUCCUGAUCUCAGGGUUGUGAGAUUGAGUCCUGCGCUGGCUGGGCUCUGCACUGUGCACGGAGACAGCUUGAGAGUCUCUUCCCUCUCCCUCUGCACCUCCUGCUUGUGCUCGCAUGCUCUCACUCUCAAAUAAAUAAAUAAAUGUUUAAAAAUGAAAAAUAAAAUAAAUUAAAAUCUGAUUACACUACUUAGUGGAUGUGUAACUUCAGACGAAUUACUUGACCUAUAAUGGUCUUGGUUUCCCUAUUCCUG